Molecule: long non-coding RNA, 1484 nt
Filed under: Arabidopsis lyrata
Lineage: Eukaryota; Viridiplantae; Streptophyta; Magnoliopsida; Brassicales; Brassicaceae
Description: long non-coding RNA (ALYR_LNC002501)
Source: RNAcentral
UAUUGAUAUGAAUAAGAAUGUUUAUGUACAAAGAUAUAAAAGAAUAAAAUAUGAAUAACAGAUCUAGAAAGAGCCAAAUAGUUUAACUAACACCUAGUGCUUGGAACCAUCGCUCAAGUAGAUGGGCAAGCUGGGGAAAUCACUCUAUUGUGGAUCGUUGUUUUUGUUUUGGACAAAAUGGAUCGUCUUUUCUAUGACCCUAAUAAGGUGAUCAGCUGGUCGUAACAUGUGCUCAUGUAGUCUUUCAUUUUGUUCACGCGAGACGUGAUAAAUUGUUGUCUCGAACGCCAAAGUCCAAAGGAACCAAGAUGAAGAAAAGCUUGUCAAACUUGCAAGAAAUGAGAUGUUGCAAAGUCGUUUACCUAUCCAUCUAAUUUGAAAUUAGAAAAAAUUAGCUAAAUAAUAAAAUAUAAUAAUUUUAUAGUUAGGUAAAGUCUUCAAAAUUAUCUUUGUAAAAGUCUUCAAACGUUAAAGAGAAUAUAAACUAACUAACUUUUGACGAAAAAAAUUUAAGUAAAUAGUCAUUGCUGAAAAAUAUGAAAGAAAAAAAGACUUCUGCACACAAUUUAUGACACUUUUAUCCUCACUUUGAUGACCAUCAUCACAUAAUCUUACUUUCUUAUUCUGCUUUCUUCUUUGCAAACUCCGCCGUCAUAUCUCCAUCGCAUAUCGGCAACAUAUUUCUCUGUUCUUUCUCUCAUCAACACAGAUAUAUCUAUAUAUCUAUCUCUCUAUCUAUCUCUCUAUAUAUCUAUCUAUCUAUCUAUCUAUCUAUCUAUCUAUCUCUCUAUCUCUCUAUCUCUCUAUCUAUCUAUAUAUCUAUAUAUCUAUCUAUCUAUCUAUAUAUCUAUAUAUAUAUCUCUCUCUCUCUCUCUCUAUCUCUCUAUCUCUCUCUCUCUCUCUCUCUCUCUCUCUCUCUCUCUCUCUCUAUCUCUCUCUCUCUCUCUCUCUCUCUCUCUCUCUCUCUAUCUAUCUCUCUCUCUCUCUCUCUCUCUCUCUCUCUCUCUAUCUCUCUCUCUCUCUCUCUCUCUCUCUCUCUCUCUCUCUCACCAACAAAUUUCUCGCCAAUAUCUCUGGAUUUCUUUGUUUCCUAUGUCGCCGACGAAUCUCUCUAACCAUCUUUUUCUUCUUCUUCUCCCUCUCUGUAGGAGCGCAAAAUAUGAAUUGAGAAAAUAUGCGAAUUUUAUUAAUAUAACGAUAAACAGAAACGAAUUACAACAACGAUAAUUAAAGACGUAAUUUAAAUAAUAUAAAUCACAGAGGCAAGAUAUGAUAUCUUUUUCCUUAAUUCAAUAAAUCGGUCGUAAGUGCUUUCGGACAAUCACGAUUUAUGAAUCCCAGCACACAACCGAUCACGAACUAAUACCCGAGCACACGAGUAAUAGACUCAAGCGAAUUUGAUCUACGAUAUACUCUCAAAACUACUAAACUAAAGACUUACUUUUAAGAAGCAAGAGAGAGGCGAGAUUUUAGAACUGAGAGUG